AUGCUCCCUUUGGCAGCACAAGUACUAAACUUGAAAAGACACAGAAAUGAUUAGCAUAGCCCCUAAGCAAAGAUGACUUGCAAAUUUGUGAGGCCUUCCAUUUUUUU
RNAcentral lists this small nuclear RNA (107 nucleotides) under Pelusios castaneus (West African mud turtle). Lineage: Eukaryota; Metazoa; Chordata; Testudines; Pelomedusidae. The record is from RNAcentral.